CACCAGCGCCACAAGUCGUGAUCACUUUUAUUGGGCCUAAAGCGUCCGUAGCAGGUCUGUUAAAUCUUUUGUGAAAUCGUUGCGCUUAACGUAACGGCGUGCAAGAGACACUGACAGACUAGGGACCGGGAGGAGUCAGAGGUAUUCUUGGGGGAGCGGUAAAAUGUUAUAAUCCCAAGAGGACCACCUGUGGCGAAGGCGUCUGACUAGUACGGAUCCGACUGUGAGGGACGAAAGCCAGGGGAUCAAUCCGG
This 254-nucleotide ribosomal RNA is filed under the name uncultured bacterium. Its description in RNAcentral is "partial 16S ribosomal RNA". It matches the Rfam family "Archaeal small subunit ribosomal RNA", at positions 474 to 727 of the family's 1478-position model. The record is from RNAcentral.